RNAcentral lists this ribosomal RNA (164 nucleotides) under uncultured bacterium. RNAcentral describes it as "partial 16S rRNA". It matches the Rfam family "Bacterial small subunit ribosomal RNA", at positions 355 to 511 of the family's 1533-position model. The record is from RNAcentral.
UAGGGAAUCUUUCACAAUGGGCGCAAGCCUGAUGGAGCAACACCGCGUGAGUGAAGAAGGGUUUCGGCUCGUAAAACUCUGUUGUUAAAGAAGAACACGUAUGAGAGUAACUGUUCAUACGUUGACGGUAUUUAACCAGAAAGUCACGGCUAACUACGUGCCAG